RNAcentral lists this ribosomal RNA (695 nucleotides) under uncultured bacterium. Its description in RNAcentral is "bacterial SSU rRNA". It matches the Rfam family "Bacterial small subunit ribosomal RNA", at positions 111 to 823 of the family's 1533-position model. The record is from RNAcentral.
UAACGCGUGGGUAACCUGCCNCAUACAGGGGGAUAACAGUUAGAAAUGACUGCUAAUACCGCAUAAGACCACGGUACCGCAUGGUACAGUGGUAAAAACUCCGGUGGUAUGAGAUGGACCCGCGUCUGAUUAGGUAGUUGGUGGGGUAACGGCCUACCAAGCCGACGAUCAGUAGCCGACCUGAGAGGGUGACCGGCCACAUUGGGACUGAGACACGGCCCAGACUCCUACGGGAGGCAGCAGUGGGGAAUAUUGCACAAUGGAGGAAACUCUGAUGCAGCGACGCCGCGUGAAGGAUGAAGUAUUUCGGUAUGUAAACUUCUAUCANCAGGGAAGAAAAUGACGGUACCUGACUAAGAAGCCCCGGCUAACUACGUGCCAGCAGCCGCGGUAAUACGUAGGGGGCAAGCGUUAUCCGGAUUUACUGGGUGUAAAGGGAGCGUAGACGGCACGGCAAGCCAGAUGUGAAAGCCUGGGGCUCAACCCCGGGACUGCAUUUGGAACUGCUGAGCUAGAGUGUCGGAGAGGCAAGUGGAAUUCCUAGUGUAGCGGUGAAAUGCGUAGAUAUUAGGAGGAACACCAGUGGCGAAGGCGGCUUGCUGGACGAUGACUGACGUUGAGGCUCGACAGCGUGGGGGAGCAAACAGGAUUAGAUACCCUGGUAGUCCACGCCGUAAACGAUGACUGCUAGGUGU